CGCUAACUCCGUGCCAGCAGCCGCGGUAAUACGGAGGGUGCAAGCGUAAUCGGAAUUACUGGGCGUAAAGCGCACGCAGGCGGUCUGUUAAGUCAGAUGUGAAAUCCCCGGGCUUAACUGGGAACUGCAUUUGAAACUGGCAGGCUUGAGUCUCGUAGAGGGGGGUAGAAUUCCAGGUGUAGCGGUGAAAUGCGUAGAGAUCUGGAGGAAUACCGGUGGCGAAGGCGGCCCCCUGGACGAAGACUGACGCUCAGGUGCGAAAGCGUGGGGAGCAAACAGGAUUAGAUACCUGGUAGUCCACGCCGUAAACGAUGUCGACUUGGAGGUUGUGCCCUUGAGGCGUGGCUUCCGGAGCUAACGCGUUAAGUCGACCGCCUGGGGAGUACGGCCGCAAGGUUAAAACUCAAAUGAAUUGACGGGGGCCCGCACAAGCGGUGGAGCAUGUGGUUUAAUUCGAUGCAACGCGAAGAACCUUACCUGGCCUUGACAUCCAGAGAACUUAGCAGAGAUGCUUUGGUGCCUUCGGGAACUCUGAGACAGGUGCUGCAUGGCUGUCGUCAGCUCGUGUUGUGAAAUGUUGGGUUAAGUCCCGCAACGAGCGCAACCCUUAUCCUUUGUUGCCAGCGGCUCGGCCGGGAACUCAAAGGAGACUGCCGGUGAUAAACCGGAGGAAGGUGGGGAUGACGUCAAGUCAUCAUGGCCCUUACGGCCAGGGCUACACACGUGCUACAAUGGCGCAUACAAAGAGAAGCGACCUCGCGAGAGCAAGCGGACCUCAUAAAGUGCGUCGUAGUCCGGAUUGGAGUCUGCAACUCGACUCCAUGAAGUCGGAAUCGCUAGUAAUCGUAGAUCAGAAUGCUACGGUGAAUACGUUCCCGGGCCUUGUACACACCGCCCGUCACACCAUGGGAGUGGGUUGCAAAAGAAGUAGGUAGCUUAACCUCCGGGAGGGCGCUACCACUUUGAUCGG
RNAcentral lists this ribosomal RNA (970 nucleotides) under Pantoea dispersa. RNAcentral describes it as "bacterial SSU rRNA". It matches the Rfam family "Bacterial small subunit ribosomal RNA", at positions 495 to 1471 of the family's 1533-position model. Lineage: Bacteria; Pseudomonadati; Pseudomonadota; Gammaproteobacteria; Enterobacterales; Erwiniaceae. The record is from RNAcentral.